This 468-nucleotide ribosomal RNA is filed under the name uncultured bacterium. RNAcentral describes it as "partial 16S ribosomal RNA". It matches the Rfam family "Bacterial small subunit ribosomal RNA", at positions 28 to 507 of the family's 1533-position model. The record is from RNAcentral.
GAUGAACGCUGGCGGCGUGCUUAACACAUGCAAGUCGAACGGAAAGGCCCAAGCUUGCUUGGGUACUCGAGUGGCGAACGGGUGAGUAACACGUGGGUGAUCUGCCCUGCACUUCGGGAUAAGCCUGGGAAACUGGGUCUAAUACCGGAUAGGACGAUGGUUUGGAUGCCAUUGUGGAAAGUUUUUUCGGUGUGGGAUGAGCUCGCGGCCUAUCAGCUUGUUGGUGGGGUAAUGGCCUACCAAGGCGUCGACGGGUAGCCGGCCUGAGAGGGUGUACGGCCACAUUUGGACUGAGAUACGGCCCAGACUCCUACGGGAGGCAGCAGUGGGGAAUAUUGCACAAUGGGCGCAAGCCUGAUGCAGCGACGCCGCGUGGGGGAUGACGGCCUUCGGGUUGUAAACUCCUUUCGCUAGGGACGAAGCGUUUUUGUGACGGUACCUGGAGAAGAAGCACCGGCUAACUGCGUG